GCAAGUCGAACGCACGUAGCAAUACGUGAGUGGCGGACGGGUGAGUAACGCGUGAGAAUCUAGCUUCAGGUCGGGGACAACAGAGGGAAACCGCUGCUAAUACCGGAUAUGCCGAAAGGUGAAAGAUUAAUUGCCUGAAGAUGAGCUCGCGUCUGAUUAGCUAGUUGGAGAGGUAAAAGCUCACCAAGGCGACGAUCAGUAGCUGGUCUGAGAGGACGAUCAGCCACACUGGGACUGAGACACGGCCCAGACUCCUACGGGAGGCAGCAGUGGGGAAUUUUCCGCAAUGGGCGAAAGCCUGACGGAGCAAUACCGCGUGAGGGAGGAAGGCUCUUGGGUUGUAAACCUCUUUUCUUAGGGAAGAAGCUCUGACGGUACCUAAGGAAUAAGCAUCGGCUAACUCCGUGCCAGCAGCCGCGGUAAUACGGAGGAUGCAAGCGUUAUCCGGAAUCAUUGGGCGUAAAGCGUCCGUAGGUGGCAGUUCAAGUCUGCUGUUAAAGGCUGGGGC
Molecule: ribosomal RNA, 508 nt
Filed under: uncultured cyanobacterium
Lineage: Bacteria; Bacillati; Cyanobacteriota
Description: bacterial SSU rRNA
Rfam family: Bacterial small subunit ribosomal RNA
Source: RNAcentral